GGCCAGGGGACGGACAGGCAUCCGUAAAGACGGCACAUCACCCCCCAAGGUGCUCUUAAUAUGAGGUGUCAGCAUGUUUCAAAGGGCAGCAGUGGUCCCACGGUAUGUGUGUACAAGGUGUGAUCUCCGGGGGGACACGGCGCUCCGUUCUCCCCUGUGCGUACCGUAGGCGGGUCAGUCUCCAUGCUUCGGGCUGAGACCUGUAGUUCAGUGCUGUUGACUAAGGCCGCUCCACGCCGUGAGCUGUAACGUGCUGUGAGGGGAACGUUUGAGCUGCGGACGGGUUUGAAGGGAUGUGAUGAAUUGUGGUACCGUCACAGUCACGAUAGGAUACCAUGAUCAAAGGAAUCCCCUCAUUUUAGCUGGGACAGUCCCCACGCCGCCAGUGACAUCAUUGACCAGCGCCAAUGCAGCGGCACAUUCUUACUGACGCCCAGUGGCCCACUUAAUGGGGUACACACCCCAGCACCUAAUCAUCCCAACUUGAAAUGACUGCUGUCCACUUAACAGGCUCCACUUUAGAGGGUGAUGAUGGGACUUGAGUUAUUUUGCUGUUGUGCAAUACAACAAGGACCAAUUCUGACUGAAACCAUGCCGAAAGCAUGUUUUUACUGAGAUUUGGGAAAUUGGAUCAACAUUUCGAUAUUAUAAAAAAAAAAUUCUAACUAGAAGAAAGAUCAGAAGUAUAUAUUCUUUGCUCUGCUGUAAAAUACAAGUUUUUGUAUGGACAAGAUUAAACAGAUCAAGUAAUUUAUCAGAAAAACUAGCUUUUUGUAGUGACCCAAAAUUCACGCCCAACUCAAUCCAACCUAAUCUCCUGGCACCUCGCCACACAAUGCUUUACUUUGUAUUUAAGCUCCUCUAGAAUACAAAAUAACUCGUCUUACAUUCAAACCUGUGUCUAUAUAAUGUGUGUAUAUAUAUCAAUGUCAGUGGUUACUGGACAGUAUAAAGUAGGUUGCCGAGUUACAGCAGUUCAACAUUAAGUACAGUAUGCAGCGUUCUGCUGACUACUACCUCAUCACUAAUGUCCAUACCGUUGCUACUGACUCAUCAUCAUCAUCAUCACGACUGUACUGAAACAUACCUGAGCCGUCCACACUUCUUAUCAAAGACUAAAUGUCUAGAAAUGCUCCUGCCAAGAUAUUUGUAAUUGUAGUCACCAGUUGUUUCUUGAUCCAUAUAUCUGUUUGUAAAGGUAGAGCAUGCUUAAAGUUGACCAUGAUUUGGCCAUCAGUGGGCUUGAGACCCAUUUGGUUUAUGAAGCGGGUACAUGUUUUUAUUAACAUCAAUGUGUCAGAAUUGGUCCCUUGAUGAUACAGUUGCAGUAAGGAACAAGUACUUUAAAUUAUUUUCUGUUCCGACGGUAUAAAUAUUUAUGGUGUGAAUUAUAUCAUUUGGCAACCGUGUACAUUGAUAUCUCUGAUUGUUGAAUCACCAAUAUCUGUGUAACUUUUAUGUUUUGAUUUCCAAAAAGGUAAAGGAACAAAGAAUUAAAUAACUACCAGAAGUCUGUGAUUUAUUUACUAUUCCACUACACACUGUUGAUGACGUGAUGCGUUGAAAGGAACAUUUAAAAGAUCCCAAACAGGGCCUCUUAAAACACAUUACAUGCUAGUGAAGCUGAGGACACAACUUUAAUAUCAAUAUAUCAGAUUAAGAAGAAGAAAAUACAUGCUGCAUAUUAACCAUUUGCCGUAUGAAAUUUGUUCUUCACCCACUCAAGUCUAGGCUCAUUUCAUUCAGCUUAAAG
Esox lucius (northern pike) is the source of this 1753-nucleotide long non-coding RNA. The record is from Ensembl. Lineage: Eukaryota; Metazoa; Chordata; Actinopteri; Esociformes; Esocidae.